Pseudophryne corroboree (corroboree frog) is the source of this 850-nucleotide long non-coding RNA. RefSeq lists it as uncharacterized. The record is from RefSeq and is a predicted model, not a curated record. Lineage: Eukaryota; Metazoa; Chordata; Amphibia; Anura; Myobatrachidae. The transcript has 3 exons.
ACAGCCUGCACACGAUCUCCCAUUGAAAGCUCUCCAUAGCAGCACAGCCCACAUCCCAGGAAUCUCCUAUCCUACAGACAUAAACCAUCUAUACCACAAUGGUGAAGUUCUUAACCAAUAUCUUACCUGAGCAUGCCAUAAAUUUGGCAGGAUGACAAAAAGCUACUUUAAAGAUAAUAGGACGGAGCCAAACACAGCCAGUGGGUUUAUAUCACAAUCGGAGCUGCCAGGCUCAGCGGACAGAAUGAGUGACUGAGGAAAAUGUGUCAAUCGCGGCUUUGGAUACUUUCAGAUAAAUUUGAUUUUCAUGCCAGAAAUGCAGCACAUACUGUAAAUGACAAGAUUCCUGUUCGCUGUUGGAGAUGAUUAUUAUUACUAAGCAGCAGUUGUGUUUUGUGUGGCAGGAGUAAAUAAAAACCUUUCUGCCAUGACCAAACAAAGGAAAUGGAGCAGGAUUUGAAAGAAGUCCAAGUUUGCUGGGUGAGAGAUUCUUUUUAAUGAGUGUAAUCUUUCUAUUGGGGUUUACAUCACAAUUUAAUCCAAACCCCUAACAGUAAAAAGACAUCUGCUGUUUAAGCUGUUCUGUAAAUACUUUUAAUGGUUGGAAGCCAUCUGAAGGGAGUUUUUAAGAAGGGAUGGUAGCUUAGCUGAAAAUAAAAUCGACUCCAGUGCAAAUCUAUGGAUAAAUCACUGUAUUAUUUGUUAAAAUGUAGUCGCUUGAAACAACUAAGACCUUUCUUCUAAAAUUUACUAUGUGGUAAACUUUUUGCGAAGACUGAUUUAUAAGUGGAAAAAUAAAAGCAUGAAAAGAUGUAGUCUUGCAGAUGACACCGGGGAAGUAAAUAAGAUG